UACAGAGGGUGCGAGCGUUAAUCGGAAUUACUGGGCGUAAAGCGCACGUAGGCGGCUUGGUAUGUCGGGUGUGAAAUCCCCGGGCUCAACCUGGGAACUGCAUCCGAAACUGAAUAGCUAGGGUACGGUAGAGGGAAGCGGAAUUUCCGGUGUAGCGGUGAAAUGCGUAGAUAUCGGAAGGAACAUCAGUGGCGAAAGCGGCUUCCUGGACCAGUACCGACGUUCAGGCACGAAAGCGUGGGGAGCAAACAGG
This 253-nucleotide ribosomal RNA is filed under the name uncultured bacterium. Its description in RNAcentral is "partial 16S ribosomal RNA". It matches the Rfam family "Bacterial small subunit ribosomal RNA", at positions 524 to 776 of the family's 1533-position model. The record is from RNAcentral.